UACGUAGGUGGCAAGCGUUGUCCGGAAUUAUUGGGCGUAAAGCGCGCGCAGGCGGUCCUUUAAGUCUGAUGUGAAAGCCCACGGCUCAACCGUGGAGGGUCAUUGGAAACUGGGGGACUUGAGUGCAGGAGAGAAGAGUGGAAUUCCACGUGUAGCGGUGAAAUGCGUAGAGAUGUGGAGGAACACCAGUGGCGAAGGCGACUCUCUGGACCUCUGCUGACGCUGAGGCGCGAAAGCGUGGGGAGCGAUCCGG
Molecule: ribosomal RNA, 253 nt
Filed under: uncultured bacterium
Lineage: Bacteria
Description: partial 16S ribosomal RNA
Rfam family: Bacterial small subunit ribosomal RNA
Source: RNAcentral